GACGAACGCUGGCGGCGUGCCUAACACAUGCAAGUCGAACGAGUGGCGAACGGGGGAGUAAUACGUGGGUAACCUUCCCUCUUUUGGGGAUAAGCCUUGGAAACGGGGUCUAAUACCGAAUACAGGGGGAUGGGCUAGGGGCCUAUCAGCUCGUUGGUGGGGAAAUGGCCUACCAAGGCGGUGACGGGUAGACGGCCUGGGAGGGUGCACGGGCACAGAGACACUGCGCAACGGCCCAGGGUAGUAAGGAGGGGGGCAGUUGGGGAUAUGGGACAAUGCGUGAAAGCGUGAUGCCGCGUGGCUGAAUAGGGGAUGAGGGCUGUCGAGUUCUAAACGUCUGUAGCUAUCGAACCGGUAGCUGCAGAAGAAGCGCCGGCUAACUACGUGCCAGCAGCCGCGGUAAUUC
Molecule: ribosomal RNA, 406 nt
Filed under: uncultured bacterium
Lineage: Bacteria
Description: partial 16S ribosomal RNA
Rfam family: Bacterial small subunit ribosomal RNA
Source: RNAcentral